AAAUUGAAGAGUUUGAUCAUGGCUCAGAUUGAACGCUGGCGGCAGGCCUAACACAUGCAAGUCGAACGGUAGCACAGAGAGCUUGCUCUCGGGUGACGAGUGGCGGACGGGUGAGUAAUGUCUGGGAAACUGCCUGAUGGAGGGGGAUAACUACUGGAAACGGUG
Molecule: ribosomal RNA, 165 nt
Filed under: Salmonella enterica subsp. enterica serovar Infantis
Lineage: Bacteria; Pseudomonadati; Pseudomonadota; Gammaproteobacteria; Enterobacterales; Enterobacteriaceae
Also listed under: 3 other names
Description: partial 16S ribosomal RNA
Rfam family: Bacterial small subunit ribosomal RNA
Source: RNAcentral